This 790-nucleotide long non-coding RNA is filed under the name Rattus norvegicus (Norway rat). Its description in RNAcentral is "long non-coding RNA NONRATT011499". The record is from RNAcentral. Lineage: Eukaryota; Metazoa; Chordata; Mammalia; Rodentia; Muridae.
UGCUAUGCCAAGGGGUUGAGUCCUCCCUUCAGAUGGGCCAUCUGCAAAUUGCCUGGAUGAAAAAAAAAAUCCUGAAAAUACAAAAUAACCCCUCUAAGUGUCUGAGCCAGGAAAAUGGCAUUUCCUCUGCCCUCUUUGUAUGCCCACUUGCCCUCUGCAGCAUCUGGCCUCAUGGCCUGUGUAGAGUGGAGAGGCACAGCCCUCCUGGGGGGCAGCCGCUGGCAGUGGAACAGGUGGACUGUGCUGCACUUUUCUGCGUCAAGCAUGUGUGCUCUGAUGUAGAACUAGGUACACUUUCAACAGUGUGUGUCAGUUUGCACUCAGCUUAAUUGUGAUUGCUUGACCUUGGUGCACAAGCCGGGAAACUGGCUCCUUUACCCUUUCCUAUUUGAGUAUGAGGGCUAUGCUCUGAGUCAGGACUACAAAGACCUUAUCUGUGAGCCUGUCAGGCCCCUGCCCUUGGCCUGCGGUCUAAGAAAGAAGUGAGCAAUGUAGAAUGGUUAUUCAGAAAGCUGCCAUUCAUGUCUCUGGGGAGGUCUGAGGGAAGAGUGUUCCUGAUAAGUUUGCUCUCUAGGGUUUCUAAAACAGCUUUUAGUUCAUGUAUGUGGUAACGAGACCUUAAAGCAGGAUUAUUUUAGACUCUACACAAGAGGAGUUCAAUAGAUUUAGCCAUUUCUGUCUGCUCUUUGAAUCAUAUUUUAAAAUAUUACCCAAUACUCUUGACUCAGUUAUGUAAGUUUAUUUUAUAAAUACAAAAGUGUCACUUGUGCAUGUGAUAAAUUAACAAACC